Molecule: ribosomal RNA, 477 nt
Filed under: Thamnocephalus mexicanus
Lineage: Eukaryota; Metazoa; Arthropoda; Branchiopoda; Anostraca; Thamnocephalidae
Description: partial large subunit ribosomal RNA
Rfam family: Bacterial large subunit ribosomal RNA
Source: RNAcentral
UGCCCACUGAAUUUUCAAGGGCCGUGGUAUAUUGACCAUGCGAAGGUAGCAUAAUCAUUUGCCUCUUAAUUAGGGGCUGGAAUGAAGGGUUGGACGAGAAAUCGGCUGUCUCUUCUUUUAAUUUGAAUUUAAUUUUUUGGUGAAAAAGCUAAAAUUUGCUUGUAGGACGAUAAGACCCUAUAGAUCUUUAUAAUUAAGUGUUUUGAUUAAUUGGUUGUUAUUAGAUUGAGACUCUUGUUAUUUUGUUGGGGCGACAUUGAGUGGAGAUUUAACUCUCAAAUUUACUAAACAAUUAUAUUUGUUCAACUGAUCCUUUGAUGAAUUAAGAUUAAGUUACCUUAGGGAUAACAGCGUAAUUCUUCUUGAGAGUUCAAAUCGACAGAAGAGUUUGCGACCUCGAUGUUGGUUCAGGGUUCCUCCUAGGUGCAGCAGUCUAGAAAGGUAGUCUGUUCGACUAUUAAAACCCUACGUGAUCUG